AGGGUUUGAUCCUGGCUCAGAUUGAACGCUGGCGGAAUGCUUUACACAUGCAAGUCGAGCGGCAGCGCGGGGCAACCUGGCGGCGAGCGGCGAACGGGUGAGUAAUGCAUCGGAACAUGUCCAAUUGUGGGGGAUAGCCCGGCGAAAGCCGGAUUAAUACCGCAUGAGCCCGAGAGGGGAAAGUGGGGGACCGCAAGGCCUCACGCGAUUGGGUUGGCCGAUGUCCGAUUAGCUAGUUGGCGGGGUAAAGGCCCACCAAGGCGAUGAUCGGUAGCUGGUCUGAGAGGAUGAUCAGCCACACUGGGACUGAGACACGGCCCAGACUCCUACGGGAGGCAGCAGUGGGGAAUUUUGGACAAUGGGGGCAACCCUGAUCCAGCCAUUCCGCGUGAGUGAAGAAGGCCUUCGGGUUGUAAAGCUCUUUUGUCCGGAGCGAAACGGCUACGUCUAAUACACGUGGCUACUGACGGUACCGGAAGAAUAAGCACCGGCUAACUACGUGCCAGCAGCCGCGGUAAUACGUAGGGUGCGAGCGUUAAUCGGAAUUACUGGGCGUAAAGCGUGCGCAGGCGGUUUUGUAAGCCAGAUGUGAAAUCCCCGGGCUCAACCUGGGAAUGGCAUUUGGGACUGCAAGGCUUGAGUGCGGCAGAGGAGACUGGAAUUCCUGGUGUAGCAGUGAAAUGCGUAGAUAUCAGGAGGAAUACCGAUGGCGAAGGCAGGUCUCUGGGCUGACACUGACGCUCAUGCACGAAAGCGUGGGGAGCAAACAGGAUUAGAUACCCUGGUAGUCCACGCCCUAAACGAUGUCGACUGGUUGUUGGGGGUUUGACACUCUCAGUAACGAAGCUAACGCGUGAAGUCGACCGCCUGGGGAGUACGGCCGCAAGGUUAAAACUCAAAGGAAUUGACGGGGACCCGCACAAGCGGUG
This 929-nucleotide ribosomal RNA is filed under the name uncultured beta proteobacterium. Its description in RNAcentral is "bacterial SSU rRNA". It matches the Rfam family "Bacterial small subunit ribosomal RNA", at positions 8 to 934 of the family's 1533-position model. Lineage: Bacteria; Pseudomonadati; Pseudomonadota; Betaproteobacteria. The record is from RNAcentral.